GUUUGACCUGCCCAGUGAGGUUUUAACGGCCGCGGUAAUCCGACCGUGUGAAGGUAGCAUAAUCAGUAGUCUUUUAAUUGGAGGAUGGCAUGAAGGGUUGGACAAGAAGUAGUCUGUCUUUUUUAUAAUUUUUGAAUUUUACUUUUAAGUGAAAAGGCUUAAAUAGUUUAAGGGGACGAAAAGACCCUAUAAAUUUUUACAAAGUUGAAUUUUCUUUUGAAUUAGUGUUUAAAUUUUAUGAUUUCUUAUUUGUUGGGUUGGGGCGACAAAGAUAAAAAUUAGUAACUGUCAAAUAAGAUAGAUAAAUAUAUUUAGUAUAGUUGAUCCUUUAUUAGAGAUUAAAAGAGUAAGUUACUUUAGGGAUAACAGCGUAAUUUCCUCUGAGAGUUCUUAUCGACGAGAGUAGUUGUGACCUCGAUGUUGAAUCUAAGGUUUCUAUUAAGUGUAGCAGCUUAACAAGUAGGUCUGUUCGACCUU
This 477-nucleotide ribosomal RNA is filed under the name Pandalina profunda. RNAcentral's name for it is "partial 16S ribosomal RNA". It matches the Rfam family "Archaeal large subunit ribosomal RNA", at positions 1944 to 2657 of the family's 2987-position model. Lineage: Eukaryota; Metazoa; Arthropoda; Malacostraca; Decapoda; Pandalidae. The record is from RNAcentral.